Molecule: ribosomal RNA, 492 nt
Filed under: uncultured bacterium
Lineage: Bacteria
Description: partial 16S ribosomal RNA
Rfam family: Bacterial small subunit ribosomal RNA
Source: RNAcentral
AGUGAACGCUGGCGGUAGGCCUAACACAUGCAAGUCGAACGGCAGCACAGUAAGAGCUUGCUCUUACGGGUGGCGAGUGGCGGACGGGUGAGGAAUACAUCGGAAUCUACUUUUUCGUGGGGGAUAACGUAGGGAAACUUACGCUAAUACCGCAUACGACCUACGGGUGAAAGCAGGGGAUCUUCGGACCUUGCGCGAUUGAAUGAGCCGAUGUCGGAUUAGCUAGUUGGCGGGGUAAAGGCCCACCAAGGCGACGAUCCGUAGCUGGUCUGAGAGGAUGAUCAGCCACACUGGAACUGAGACACGGUCCAGACUCCUACGGGAGGCAGCAGUGGGGAAUAUUGGACAAUGGGCGCAAGCCUGAUCCAGCCAUACCGCGUGGGUGAAGAAGGCCUUCGGGUUGUAAAGCCCUUUUGCUGGGAAAGAAAGGCAGCAGGUUAAUACCCCGCUGUUCUGACGGUACCCAAAGAAUAAGCACCGGCUAACUUCGUG